GGCUGGGUAGCUCAGAUGGUCAGAGAGUAGUGCUAAUAAUUCCAUUGUCAUGGGUUCAAGCCCCAUACUGGCUA
This 74-nucleotide transfer RNA is filed under the name Poecilia formosa (Amazon molly). It matches the Rfam family "tRNA". Rfam says of the family: Transfer RNA (tRNA) molecules are approximately 80 nucleotides in length. Their secondary structure includes four short double-helical elements and three loops (D, anti-codon, and T loops). The record is from Rfam by way of RNAcentral. Lineage: Eukaryota; Metazoa; Chordata; Actinopteri; Cyprinodontiformes; Poeciliidae.